CGGCAACAGCUCAAAUUUGAAAUCUGGCACCCGCCCGAGUUGUAAUUUGCAGAGGAGGCUUUGGAGUCGCCCCGGUCUAAGUUCCUUGGAACAGAAUGUCAGAGAGGGUGAGAAUCCCGUCUUGGACCGGCGUAGGGCCCGUGUAAAACUCCUUCGAC
This 158-nucleotide ribosomal RNA is filed under the name Chaetothyriales sp. Its description in RNAcentral is "partial large subunit ribosomal RNA". It matches the Rfam family "Eukaryotic large subunit ribosomal RNA", at positions 99 to 261 of the family's 3401-position model. The record is from RNAcentral. Lineage: Eukaryota; Fungi; Ascomycota; Eurotiomycetes; Chaetothyriales.